GACGAACGCUGGCGGCGUGCUUAACACAUGCAAGUCGAACGGAAAGGCCCUGCUUUUGUGGGGUGCUCGAGUGGCGAACGGGUGAGUAACACGUGAGUAACCUGCCCUUGACUUUGGGAUAACUUCAGGAAACUGGGGCUAAUACCGGAUAGGAGCUCCUGCUGCAUGGUGGGGGUUGGAAAGUUUCGGCGGUUGGGGAUGGACUCGCGGCUUAUCAGCUUGUUGGUGGGGUAGUGGCUUACCAAGGCUUUGACGGGUAGCCGGCCUGAGAGGGUGACCGGCCACACUGGGACUGAGAUACGGCCCAGACUCCUACGGGAGGCAGCAGUGGGGAAUAUUGAACAAUGGGCGGAAGCCUGAUGCAGCAACGCCGCGUGCGGGAUGACGGCCUUCGGGUUGUAAACCGCUUUCGCCUGUGACGAAGCGUGAGUGACGGUAAUGGGUAAAGAAGCACCGGCUAACUACGUG
RNAcentral lists this ribosomal RNA (468 nucleotides) under uncultured bacterium. Its description in RNAcentral is "partial 16S ribosomal RNA". It matches the Rfam family "Bacterial small subunit ribosomal RNA", at positions 28 to 507 of the family's 1533-position model. The record is from RNAcentral.